Molecule: ribosomal RNA, 253 nt
Filed under: uncultured bacterium
Lineage: Bacteria
Description: partial 16S ribosomal RNA
Rfam family: Bacterial small subunit ribosomal RNA
Source: RNAcentral
UACGAAGGGGGCUAGCGUUGUUCGGAAUUACUGGGCGUAAAGCGCGCGCAGGCGGUCUUCCAAGUCAGUGGUGAAAGCCCGGAGCUCAACUUCGGAACUGCCAUUGAAACUGUUAGACUUGAGGACGAGAGAGGUGAGUGGAAUUCCCAGUGUAGAGGUGAAAUUCGUAGAUAUUGGGAAGAACACCGGUGGCGAAGGCGGCUCACUGGCUCGUAUCUGACGCUCAGGCGCGACAGCGUGGGGAUCAAACAGG